This 447-nucleotide ribosomal RNA is filed under the name uncultured bacterium. RNAcentral's name for it is "partial 16S ribosomal RNA". It matches the Rfam family "Bacterial small subunit ribosomal RNA", at positions 29 to 523 of the family's 1533-position model. The record is from RNAcentral.
AACGAACGCUGGCGGCAGGCCUAAUACAUGCAAGUCGAACGCCCCGCAAGGGGAGUGGCGCACGGGUGAGUAACGCGUGGGGAUGUGCCCUUGGGUACGGAACAACAUCGGGAAACUGGUGCUAAUACCGUAUAAUGACUCCGGUCCAAAGAUUUAUCGCCCAAGGAUCAACCCGCGUUGGAUUAGCUAGUUGGUGAGGUAACGGCUCACCAAGGCUACGAUCCAUAGCUGGUCUUAGAGGAUGAUCAGCCACACUGGAACUGAGACACGGUCCAGACUCCUACGGGAGGCAGCAGUAAGGAAUAUUGGACAAUGGGGGAAACCCUGAUCCAGCCAUGCCGCGUGAAUGAAGAAGGCCUUAGGGUUGUAAAGUUCUUUUAGAUGUGAAGAUAAUGACGGUAGCAUCAGAAAGAGCUCCGGCUAACUCCGUGCCAGCCGCCGCAGUAA